This 28-nucleotide small RNA is filed under the name Bombyx mori (domestic silkworm). RNAcentral describes it as "ovarian small RNA-28133". Lineage: Eukaryota; Metazoa; Arthropoda; Insecta; Lepidoptera; Bombycidae. The record is from RNAcentral.
UCGAAACGUUGAGGUCUAAUUUAUUAAG